GGCGAGUUGGCAGACGAAAUGCGAUCGACUUAGGAUCGGGAGAAGGGGCGUUAGCGCCCCACUCGCCU
RNAcentral lists this transfer RNA (68 nucleotides) under Mimachlamys nobilis (noble scallop). RNAcentral's name for it is "tRNA-Leu". Lineage: Eukaryota; Metazoa; Mollusca; Bivalvia; Pectinida; Pectinidae. The record is from RNAcentral.